This is a long non-coding RNA of Salvia miltiorrhiza (redroot sage), 1248 nucleotides long. RefSeq lists it as uncharacterized. Lineage: Eukaryota; Viridiplantae; Streptophyta; Magnoliopsida; Lamiales; Lamiaceae. The transcript is spliced from 4 exons. The record is from RefSeq and is a predicted model, not a curated record.
ACAAAAUUAAGUAUCUCCCCUCCCCAAAUUCAAUUCCCCUCAACCACCCCCGUCUCCACACUACUCUCCCCUCCCCCGUCUGAAUCAGCGCCGCCCCUCCUUCCUCCGCCGUGAAUCCCUCCCCUUCGUUUAUCUAUUAUUUCUGCAGCUCCACACCAGCCUCUCCCCUCUCCCGCGGCGAUUACUCCGGCCCCACCGUGGCCCCUCCUUCCUAUUUCCGCGUAGCAAUUUCUCCCUCUCUUCCGCCGCGAUUCGCGUCACUGCCGCUGCCGCAAUCGCCAGAGAUCUACUCCGAUCUGCCACCGCGGCCCCUUCUUCCUGUCUCCGCCUUCACCGCGCCGGCCACCUCCCUUCCCCCGUAAGCCCUCCGAUCUGCAUCGCCGCCUCUUUCUUUCUUCAAUCGGCGAGAUGGACUACAUCAAAUCAAAAACGUGCCCAGGGGAAAAUUCGUCAACACCACGAGGGGCUCGACCUCGCCGGCACCAACCGCGAAUCGCCGAGCCCCUAGAUCCCCAAAGUCUCACCGCCUCUUUGUGAUUUCCGGCGACCACGGCAACCAUGUCCGCCGAUCUGCCACCUUUCUUCCCCCAUAUGAUUUUUGGUUUAGAGGAUUAAGGGAUUGCUUACUUCCCUGUUUUGGCGGGUGGCGGCAGGAAAUUUUUGUUAGAUUUUUGGCUGGAAGUAAGCGAUUGCUUUACUUCUCUGUUUUGCCGUGGCUGAGAUCUCUGAGCACAUCACCAACAAGGUCUCCGAGCACUACAUGAAAAGAUAACCAGCAGCCAUAUUUAGAGUACAAAGGGAUCAUAAGGUGGAGACUUUCUAUCUAAUUGCUGAAAAUUAGAUUUAAGUUAAACAAGUUCUCAAUUUCGCAUGUAAUGAAAUGCAAUUGUAGUAGGUUUUGUACUCUAAUUUUGGUUUAUAAAUAAACUUUUCUAAUUUUAGUGAUUUGGAAUACUUCCUUUUGAUUUACCUAUAUCUCUUUGUGUUAUUGUUAUUUCAGAAGGAGCUAUGUGUAUGACCUGCCAUGGAACAACUUUGCCUAAUAAGGAAUCUUUUGUAUGGGUUUAUUAGGCUUUUUCAACAUCAUUCAAAACCCCAUACAGUGUUAGCCGGACAACUGGAGGAGUCUCACUUUUGUUUGCAAACGCUGCAUUUGAUUAAUCAUUUCUUUGUCUUUCUUAAUUUUGUUAACUUUUGAUUUUGUCAACUCAAAACUAUAUAUAAUUUGCAAUACAUAAUUUAUAAUCA